Non-coding RNA from Salvelinus sp. IW2-2015, 1633 nucleotides. The record is from RefSeq and is a predicted model, not a curated record. Lineage: Eukaryota; Metazoa; Chordata; Actinopteri; Salmoniformes; Salmonidae.
GGCUGUAGCCUGUCUCGAGAGGGAAUGGCCAGGGUCCAGACCUGUGGCUCUGUGGGUAAAGAACUGCUGGAGUUGACCCAGGAGGAGAAGAGACUAGAUGAACUCCUACACAUCUCUACACGCAUCAUCCAACAGAUGACCAAAGACACACCCACAAGGAAAUAGCCUUCCUUUACAAGCCUGCUGUUUUUGAGGUGUGUGUGUGUGUUGGUGUUGUCCUGUGUGUGUAAAUGACUACUCUUUUCCUUAACCCCUGGGUAACGUUUGCGUACAUAUCGUAUGAGGAUGUGAAGAGGAUUCCUAGUCUGAAGGACCAGACGGUCAUCAUGGUCAAAGCCCUACUGAAACCAGACUGGAGUUCCAGACCCUGCAGAGAGUCUCCAGGUCCACCUGAGCAGUACCCAGGGUCCAAUAGAAGUCUUCCUAUGCUCUGAUGACCACGCCCCCUCCACGCUGAACAACGUGGCACUGAAUGGAAACUCCUCUUUGUCCGUCCUCAAGGUGUCACAAGGGGGUAAUAACCCCACCGAUAACGCCAGUAUCAGUUUCUCCAACGCCCUGUCCAGGCUCCCAGCAUGCUCAGCAGUGACAGUGACCCCGGUCUCCCUCCUCCCCCUCCAGGAUGUCGACCAGGAGCCCUUUGUCUCCCUCUCUCCCUCCCUCCUCUUUGAGGAGGACGACUACAUGCUCAGCCUGGGGGAAGACGACUUGUUGUCCUACGACCUGGACCAGCUUCCACUUGAAGACCUGCUCUGUAACUGAGUGAAAUGGAAACUCAGCGGCCAUUUGGGGGAUUUUGAUUUUUGAGGCACUGUUAUUGGCCCAAAUGUGGUCAUUUACAGUAUAACGAACUGUUGUAUCUUAUAGCCCAGUGGUUUCAUCAGCUGUAGCUCAGCAGCCAUUUUGGAGCAAUGCUUUUUCUUGACAUUCUGGACUGCAUCGCUCAUAGAGGACCUGCUGUGUAAUUGACAUUGAAUGUGAAAAUAUAUAUUAUUUUUUUUUGUAUAGAUGUGAUCGAAGGAAGUAAGCCUAUGUUGCCAUCCGGACAAAUGUGGCAGGCCAGCACAAACACAAACUGUCUAGAGGGGAGAAUUCUGUGGCUGAACAAACAGACAAACCCCUUCUCAAAGCCUUGUUUUUCUGGUUUGACCUGCGCUGAGGCAAACCAACAUUCAAUCACUCCCCAUAGCAGACCGUUUUGUCUUGAUGAACUGUUCUCGUCUGAAAACACAGAUUGUCCCUAACAGAGAUGGAUUAUGGGUAUUAACCUCUGGACACAUUGAUUCUUACCCAUCUCUUCCGUUGUGUGACUUAUCUGUCAACUUGUGUUUUAAUAAUGUGAUGUAGUGGAACCUACCCGGCUAGGUCCUGGUUCUCGGGUUCACAAGAAGCGAGCAGACCUGAUAUCUAGGCCCCAGGAUGGUGAGGUCUGCCUGGGCGUCGAUGGUACGCGAGUCCCCUGGUCUUCCACAUGGAGCCUUCUGACCCAAUACUGGGAGAGACUCACUGGUAUUGUUAGGAUAACCAGAGUAUGUAGUGAAAGAUGGCCCUGGACUGCAUCCCAAAUCGCACCCUAUUCCCUAUAUAGUGCACUACUUUUGAUCAGGGCUCUGUUCAGAAGUAGUGCACUAUA